UCAGUUUUGGCGCAUUACGUAGCGCAUCAGUCUCAAAAGCUGAAGGUCCCGAGUUUGAUCCUGGAAGGAGAG
Molecule: transfer RNA, 72 nt
Filed under: Monodelphis domestica (gray short-tailed opossum)
Lineage: Eukaryota; Metazoa; Chordata; Mammalia; Didelphimorphia; Didelphidae
Rfam family: tRNA
About the family: Transfer RNA (tRNA) molecules are approximately 80 nucleotides in length. Their secondary structure includes four short double-helical elements and three loops (D, anti-codon, and T loops).
Source: Rfam by way of RNAcentral